Molecule: non-coding RNA, 743 nt
Organism: Kogia breviceps (pygmy sperm whale)
Lineage: Eukaryota; Metazoa; Chordata; Mammalia; Artiodactyla; Physeteridae
Source: RefSeq, a predicted model, not a curated record
CCUCAGUUUUUUCCAUUCGUGCUUCACUGAACAUGGUUUCCAAAUCCUUCCUCCUCGGAGUGUCCCUCCCCUGGAUCCGAUCCAGCUGCCCGGGGGCCCAUUUAAAUGAUUCUCUGAACGCUUGGGCUGACAACUCGACUUCUACUUCCCAAGUGAUUGCAGCAGGAGGAGACAGGCUACGAGCCUUUGUCUGCACAACCCAACAGGUGCCCAAGACACCUGAGAAUCCGGCCGAAGAGAAGCAUUUUAAGAUCGGCUGGUGGCUUCGGGCAGACGGGCACUGGCCAGGAGCUGAGCUGGCAGCAACCGGAGAAAGAGGGGGGAGGGAAGAGGAAAGGAGAAGCAGAAACUGGUGAAUGAACGAAUACAAGAGUGUCAUUGUGAUGAUCACAGCCCUGGUUAGGACACUGGAGUGAAGGUCUGGGAUGGUGUGUUGCACAAUUUGAACCUUUGAAGCAAUGGGCUCUGCCAGGGAACUUCCUCCCGACUCAUUCCAUUUGAUGUGGGAAGCAAAGUAAAGGUUACAGUUCAUUUUGAGAAGAGAGUGAAUUUGAUGGUCUCCAUGCUGAAUCGAAACUCUCUUCUCUCUCUUCCACCACACAGUCUCAGAGAUGGCUUUUUCUUCCUACACUGGAUGGAACUCAGCUGCAGCUUGAGGGGUCUGAACAUACCAGUAACAGCCAAAAUGACACCCACUAACUUCUACUCCAAACCAAUUUCUUCUCCACUAACUUUUUUUUUUU